CAAUAGCGUAUAUUAAAGUUGUUGCGGUAAAAAAGCUCGUAGUUGGAUUUCUACCGAAGAUAGCCGGUCGGGUCUUCGACCUUGUAUCUGGUUUUGUCUUUGGUAUCCUCAUAGGGAACGUUUCUGCGCUUUAUUGCGUGGUGCGGUAUCUAUGACUUUUACUUUGAGGAAAUUAGAGUGUUCACGGCAGGCAAACGCCUUGAAUAUAUUAGCAUGGAAUAAUAAUAUAGGAUCUUGGUUCUAUUUUGUUGGUUUCUAGAGCUAAGAUAAUGAUUAAUAGGGACAAUUGGGGGCAUUCGUAUUAACGCGUCAGAGGUGGAAUUCUUGGAUUGCGUUACGACGAACUACUGCGAAAGCAUUUGCCAAGGAUGUUUUCAUUGA
RNAcentral lists this ribosomal RNA (381 nucleotides) under uncultured eukaryote. Its description in RNAcentral is "partial 18S ribosomal RNA". It matches the Rfam family "Eukaryotic small subunit ribosomal RNA", at positions 592 to 976 of the family's 1831-position model. The record is from RNAcentral.